GUCGAGAAUAAUUCACAAUGGACGAAAGUCUGAUGGUGCAACGCCGCGUGGAGGAUGAAGGUCUUCGGAUUGUAAACUCCUGUCAUCGGGGAGUAAGACCUGGCGGUAAAUAGCCGACAGGGUUGAUAGUACCCGAAGAGGAAGGGACGGCUAACUUCGUGCCAGCAGCCGCGGUAAUACGAAGGUCCCAAGCGUUGUUCGGAAUCACUGGGCGUAAAGGGAGCGUAGGCGGCGUGGUAAGUCAGAUGUGAAAUCCCGGGCUCAACCCGGGAACUGCAUCCGAUACUGCCAUGCUUGAGGGUUGGAGAGGUAGCUGGAAUUCUCGGUGUAGCAGUGAAAUGCGUGGAUAUCGAGAGGAACACUCGUGGCGAAGGCGAGCUACUGGACAACAUCUGACGCUGAGGCUCGAAGGCCAGGGGAGCAAAAGGGAUUAGAAACCCUGGUAGUCC
Molecule: ribosomal RNA, 449 nt
Filed under: uncultured bacterium
Lineage: Bacteria
Description: partial 16S ribosomal RNA
Rfam family: Bacterial small subunit ribosomal RNA
Source: RNAcentral